RNAcentral lists this ribosomal RNA (2771 nucleotides) under wastewater metagenome. Its description in RNAcentral is "bacterial LSU rRNA". It matches the Rfam family "Bacterial large subunit ribosomal RNA". The record is from RNAcentral.
AGGGCACAUGGUGGAUGUCUUGGCGUUAAGAGGCGAUGAAGGACGUUGGAACCUGCGAUAAGCCUAGAGGAGCUGGUAACCGAGCUUUGAUCCUAGGAUCUCCGAAUGGGGCAACCCGACCGUAAGGUCAUUCUGUCCUGAAUGUAUAGGGACAGUAAAGCAAACCCAGCGAACUGAAACAUCUCAGUAGCUGGAGGAAAGGAAAGCAACCGCGACUCCGCAAGUAGCGCCGAGCGAAAGUGGACGAACCAGUACCGUGUUGAGUGAUCUGGAAAGAUCAGCCACAGAAGGUGACAGCCCUGUAGGCACGUACCUGGGAAAUGGCUUCAAGUAGAGUCAGGCUCGAGAAACCUGGCUUGAACAUGGGGGGACCACCCUCCAAGCCUGAGUACUCCUUAACGACCGAUAGUGAACCAGUAAGGCGACUGAACGAUGAAAAGUACCCCGAUAAGGGGAGUUAAAAGUACCUGAAACCAUGUGCUUACACAGCGGUCACGGCCCUUUGGGGUUGUGGCGUGCCUUUUGCAUAAUGAUCUGGCGAGUUAUUUUUUACGGCAAGGCUAAGCUGUUACGCAGCGGAGCCGAAGGGAAACCGAGUCUGACAAGGGCGAUUAGUCGUAGGAGAUAGGCGCGAAACCGGUUGAUCUACCCAUGGGCAGGUUGAAGGUGGGGUAAAACCCGCUGGAGGACCGAAGCCGUGAACGUUGAAAAGUUCUGGCAUGACCUGUGGGGAGGGCUUACAGUGCAAUCAUAACCGGAGAUAUCUCGUUCUCCCCGAAAUAGUUUUGGGACUAGCCUCGAGGGCCACCACAUGGGGGUAGAGCUACUGAAUGGACUUUGGGGGCCUACCCGGCUACCCGGUCCAAUCAAACUCCGAAUACCAUGUGCUUUUGCCUCGGGAGUAAGUCCGCGAGCGAUAAUGUUCGCGGUCAAAAGGGAAACAACCCAGACCAUCGGAUAAGGUCCCUAAUCAAAUCUAAGUUCUUAAGGUAGUCAGAUUGCUGUGACAGCUAGGAUGUUGGCUUAGAAGCAGCCACCAUUUAAAAAAUGCGUAACAGCUUACUAGUCGAGGAAUCUGGCGCCGAUAAUUAUCGGGAAUCAAGAUUUGUACCGAAUCCAUGGCAAUGCGGCAUUUAUGCCGUAUUGGGUAGGGGAGCGUCGCUAUUUAGCUGUGAAGCUGUUCCGCGAGGGACGGUGGAGCAAUAGCAAGUGAAUAUGCCAGAUUGAGUAACGAUAAAGGGAGUGAGAAUCUCCCUCGCCGAAAAUCCAAGGUUUCCCGGGGUAGGUAAUUCCGCCCGGGGUUAGGCGACACCUAAGGCGAGGCUGAAAAGCGUAGUCGAUGGACAGCAGGUCAAUAUUCCUGCCCUUGUAUGUAAGGUUCGAAGCUGACGUGACGGAUCUUGAAGCUCACACGGCACUGUGAAGUGUGCAGGCCCUUGUGGCUGAAGUGGGGUGGAUAGGUUCCAAGAAAAAACGCACAGAUACAAACAUACGAGUCGUACCAAAACUGACACAGGUGGGUGUGGCGAAUAGCCUCAGGCGCUCGAGAAAACGGUCGUGAAGGAACUAGGCAAAUUGACCCCGUAAGUUCGCGAUAAGGGGGCCCUCCUCGCAAGAGAGGGCGCAGAGAAAAGGCUCUGGGAACUGUUUAUCAAAAACACAGCACUGUGCGAACUCGCAAGAGGACGUAUACAGUGUGACGCUUGCCCGGUGCCGGAACGUCAAAGGAGCUGGUUAGCAGUAAUGCGAAGCUAGCGACUGAAGCGCCGGUAAACGGCGGCCGUAACUAUGACGGUCCUAAGGUAGCGAAGUUCCUUGUCGGGUAAGUUCCGACGCGCAUGAAUAGCGUAAUCACUGGAGCACUGUCUCCACGACCGACUCGGUGAAAUAGUAGUGGCGGUGAAGAUGCCGCCUACCUGCAGCAAGACGGAAAGACCCCGUGGACCUUUACUGUACGCUUGCAGUGGUCAUGGAUUUGUUCUGCGUAGAAUAGGUGGGAGCCUUUGAAGCUAAGCUUUCGGGUUUGGCUGAGGCAUUAGUGAAAUACCACUCUGAAUGAAUUCGUGGCCUAACCCCGACUCCCGUGAAUCCGGGCGGGGAACACUGCAUGCCGGGCAGUUUGACUGGGGCGGUCUCCUCCAAAAGUGUAACGGAGGAGUGCAAAGGUUGGCUCAGCGCGGUUGGCAACCGCGCCUAGAGUGCAAAGGCACAAGCCAGCUUUAGUGCGAGCGAAACAGCGCAAGCACUCACGAAAGUGGGCCUUAGUGAUCCGGCGAUUCCGUGUGGAAGGGUCGUCGCUCAACGGAUAAAAGGUACCCCGGGGAUAACAGGCUGAUCGCUCCCGAGCGUCCAUAGCGGCGGAGCGGUUUGGCACCUCGAUGUCGGCUCUUCGCAUCCUGGGGCUGAAGGCGGUCCCAAGGGUUGGGCUGUUCGCCCAUUAAAGCGGAACGCGAGCUGGGUUCAGACCGGCGUGAGCCAGGUCGGUCCCUAUCUGCUGUAGGCGCAGGAAUGUUGAGAGGAGACUUCCCUAGUACGAGAGGAUUGGGAAGGACGUACCCCUGGUGUGCCAGUUGGACCACUCGGUCCAUAGCUGGGUAGCUAAGUGCGGCAGGGAUAAUCGCUGAAAGCAUCUAAGCGAGAAGCCCCCCUCAAGAUAAACAUUCCAUGUCGCAAGACGAAAGACCCCUUGUAGACCACAAGGUUGAUCGGCCGCACGUGUAAUCGGAGAAAUCCGUUCAGCGAAGCGGUACGAACGGUCGAUCGUUUGGCCA